UCCCAAGGCUCGCUUCGGCG
RNAcentral lists this small nuclear RNA (20 nucleotides) under Arabidopsis thaliana (thale cress). RNAcentral describes it as "snRNA_04557". Lineage: Eukaryota; Viridiplantae; Streptophyta; Magnoliopsida; Brassicales; Brassicaceae. The record is from RNAcentral.